RNAcentral lists this ribosomal RNA (250 nucleotides) under uncultured bacterium. RNAcentral describes it as "partial 16S ribosomal RNA". It matches the Rfam family "Bacterial small subunit ribosomal RNA", at positions 524 to 773 of the family's 1533-position model. The record is from RNAcentral.
GACAGAGGGUGCAAACGUUGUUCGGAAUCACUGGGCGUAAAGCGCGUGUAGGCGGCCAGAUAAGUCGGGUGUGAAAUCCCACGGCUCAACCGUGGAAGUGCAUUCGAAACUGCUUGGCUCGAGUCUCGGAGAGGAAGGUGGAAUGCUUGGUGUAGAGGUGAAAUUCGUAGAUAUCAAGCGGAACACCGGUGGCGAAGGCGGCCUUCUGGACGAUGACUGACGCUGAGACGCGAAAGCGUGGGGAGCAAAC